UUCUUUGAGAUAUAAUUUAAAGUAAAACCUGCUCCAUGUAAUAUAAAUAGCCGCAGUUUACUGUGCUAAGGUAGCAUAAUCAUUAGCCUUAUAAUUAAAGGAUAGAAUGAAAGGUUAAACGUAAUUUUUACUGUCUCCGUAAUUAAUAUUAAUUUUAUAUUCUAGUAAAAAAUCUAGAAAAAACAAAUAGGACGAUAAGACCCUAAUAAACUUUACACUAUGCUGGGGCGGCACUAUAAUAAUACCUUAAUCAUAUAACAACACACAUCUAUUAUAAAUAAUACAGAUUCAGUUACUAUAGGGAUAACAGCGCUACUUUUUUCCAAAGUUCAAAUUAAAAAAAAAAUCUACGACCUCGAUGUUGAAUUAAUUUUUCUACUAAAAGCAAAAUUUUAGAAAGAUGGUCUGUUCGACUAUUAAACAAUU
RNAcentral lists this ribosomal RNA (426 nucleotides) under Tupigea cf. teresopolis Br07/100-42. Its description in RNAcentral is "partial 16S ribosomal RNA". It matches the Rfam family "Archaeal large subunit ribosomal RNA", at positions 1922 to 2666 of the family's 2987-position model. The record is from RNAcentral. Lineage: Eukaryota; Metazoa; Arthropoda; Arachnida; Araneae; Pholcidae.